UCCGGUUUGUCACCGGCGGUCUCCUUAGAGUUCCCACCAUUACGUGCUGGCAACUAAGGACAAGGGUUGCGCUCGUUGCGGGACUUAACCCAACAUCUCACGACACGAGCUGACGACAGCCAUGCAGCACCUGUGUUCUGGUUCCCGAAGGCACCCCUCGAUCUCUCAAGGGUUCCAGACAUGUCAAGGCCAGGUAAGGUGGGGAUGACGUUCGUCUGAC
This 220-nucleotide unclassified non-coding RNA is filed under the name uncultured Lysobacteraceae bacterium. RNAcentral's name for it is "uncultured Xanthomonadaceae bacterium contains 16S-23S intergenic spacer region". Lineage: Bacteria; Pseudomonadati; Pseudomonadota; Gammaproteobacteria; Lysobacterales; Lysobacteraceae. The record is from RNAcentral.